GCCCUCAUGGUGUAGUGGUAACACGAAGGUCUCAUACGACGUUAGCUUCGCGGUUAACGGCAAUCCUCAGCUCUGAGUUCGAUUCUCAGUGAGGGCA
This 97-nucleotide transfer RNA is filed under the name Cryptococcus neoformans. RNAcentral describes it as "tRNA-Met". It matches the Rfam family "tRNA". From Rfam's summary of the family: Transfer RNA (tRNA) molecules are approximately 80 nucleotides in length. Their secondary structure includes four short double-helical elements and three loops (D, anti-codon, and T loops). RNAcentral also lists the same sequence under 1 other name. The record is from RNAcentral. Lineage: Eukaryota; Fungi; Basidiomycota; Tremellomycetes; Tremellales; Cryptococcaceae.